This 253-nucleotide ribosomal RNA is filed under the name uncultured bacterium. RNAcentral's name for it is "partial 16S ribosomal RNA". It matches the Rfam family "Bacterial small subunit ribosomal RNA", at positions 524 to 776 of the family's 1533-position model. The record is from RNAcentral.
UACGAAGGGGGCUAGCGUUGCUCGGAAUUACUGGGCGUAAAGCGCACGUAGGCGGUCUUUUAAGUCGGGGGUGAAAUCCUGGAGCUCAACUCCAGAACUGCCUUCGAUACUGGAAGACUUGAGUCCGGGAGAGGUGAGUGGAACUGCGAGUGUAGAGGUGAAAUUCGUAGAUAUUCGCAAGAACACCAGUGGCGAAGGCGGCUCACUGGCCCGGUACUGACGCUGGGGUGCGAAAGCGUGGGGAGCAAACAGG